This 253-nucleotide ribosomal RNA is filed under the name uncultured bacterium. RNAcentral describes it as "partial 16S ribosomal RNA". It matches the Rfam family "Bacterial small subunit ribosomal RNA", at positions 524 to 776 of the family's 1533-position model. The record is from RNAcentral.
UACGUAGGUGGCAAGCGUUGUCCGGAAUUAUUGGGCGUAAAGCGCGCGCAGGCGGUCCUUUAAGUCUGAUGUGAAAGCCCACGGCUCAACCGUGGAGGGUCAUUGGAAACUGGGGGACUUGAGUGCAGAAGAGGAAAGCGGAAUUCCAUGUGUAGCGGUGAAAUGCGUAGAGAUGUGGAGGAACACCAGUGGCGAAGGCGGCUUUCUGGUCUGUAACUGACGCUGAGGCGCGAAAGCGUGGGGAGCAAACAGG